CAAUAGCGUAUAUUAAAGUUGUUGCAGUUAAAAAGCUCGUAGUUGGAUUUGUGGCGUACGGUGGGUUCCGGGCACUUGUUGUCUGAGUAACUUGCUGUUGCCAUCCUUGGGUGGAACCUGUGUGGUAUUAGGUUGUCGUGCAGGGGAUGCCCAUCAUUUACUGUGAAAAAAUUAGAGUGUUCAAAGCAGGCUUAUGCCGUUGAAUAUAUUAGCAUGGAAUAAUGAGAUAGGACUUUUUUGCUAUUUUGUUGGUUUGCGCAAAGAGGUAAUGAUUAAUAGGGACAGUUGGGGGUAUUCGUAUUCCAUUGUCAGAGGUGAAAUUCUUGGAUUUUUGGAAGACGAACUACUGCGAAAGCAUUUACCAAGGAUGUUUUCAUUAA
RNAcentral lists this ribosomal RNA (380 nucleotides) under uncultured eukaryote. RNAcentral's name for it is "partial 18S ribosomal RNA". It matches the Rfam family "Eukaryotic small subunit ribosomal RNA", at positions 592 to 976 of the family's 1831-position model. The record is from RNAcentral.